Molecule: ribosomal RNA, 459 nt
Filed under: [Eubacterium] yurii
Lineage: Bacteria; Bacillati; Bacillota; Clostridia; Peptostreptococcales; Filifactoraceae
Description: bacterial SSU rRNA
Rfam family: Bacterial small subunit ribosomal RNA
Source: RNAcentral
GAUGAACGCGGCGGCGUGCCUAACACAUGCAAGUCGAACGAAGGUAUGUAUAGGAAGUCUUCGGAUGGAAUAUGUAUAACUUAGUGGCGGACGGGUGAGUAACGCGUAAGUAAUCAACCUGUGACACACGGAUAACUGAUAGAAAUGUCAGCUAAUACGAGAUGAACUGUUUAAAUUGGGAAAUGGAAACAGCAAAGCGAAAGCGGUCACAGACGAGCUUGUGUCUGAUUAGCUAGUUGGUGGGGUAAGAGCCUACCAAGGCGACGAUCAGUAGCCGGCCUGAGAGGGUGAACGGCCACAUUGGAACUGAGACACGGUCCAAACUCCUACGGAGGCAGCAGUGGGGGAUAUUGCACAAUGGGGGGAACCCUGAUGCAGCAACGCCGCGUGAGUGAAGAAGGCCCUAGGGUCGUAAAGCUCUGUCGUAUGGGAAGAAACAAAUGACUUACCAUACAAGAA